Molecule: long non-coding RNA, 1645 nt
Organism: Gallus gallus (chicken)
Lineage: Eukaryota; Metazoa; Chordata; Aves; Galliformes; Phasianidae
Source: Ensembl
ACAAGACCUCCUUUGUUGUGCUGCAAUAACUGGGAGUGGCAGCGUUUAAAGUGAUACAAUUUGAGAUUUCCUAGAAGAUGCAGCAUGAUCAUUCUCUUGGAGGCUCUGAGACCACAAUCAGUCCUGGGGUUUCCCCAUGUGAUGGUGAUGGCAGCAAAAUGGUGGAGACUGCUCACUGUGUGCCUGGGUUGGCCUUCCUCUUGUGAUGAGUAGCUUCCAUGCAGACUCAUCUGUACUACUUCUACUGCAUGGCCAGAGUGCUCCCCUGCCUUGCACCAACUCUGAGAUUUAAUUCUAAAAUCUUAGUGUCUCCAAUGGUCAGUUUUAAAUGAUUCUUACGGAAAAGCCAAUCAGUCAAGCCAGAAAACCCUGCUUGGGCUUUUAUUUGAACAUAUGCAAAUAAUUUGUUGUUUAAAUCUCUGGAAACUCGCACGUGUUGAUUCAUUUUUCUGUAAAUCACCCAGCAAACACCAGGUUCUGUUCAUUUCUUGCAUGCACUUGAAAGAGGAGAAGAGGAAGAUAUCUAAGCUUGGAGAAUACCCAGGAAGGGCAGUGCUGAGGUUGUUCAAGGCUUUUUCUACUUGUUCUUCUAAUUUGUUCACAGUGGAGCAGGAUAAGAUGAGAAUUGUAGUUGGAAGUAUUGACUAAUACAAGUACUAACUGCUCCUCUCGAGGUCAUGUUGUUUUCAGGGACACUUGCAGCACCAACACAUGGUAAAGUUUUAGAAAAAAAUCUUCUGUAUUCCGUUGAUUUUGGAGGAAAAUGAUUUUAAUUCUUGAAAUUCUAACAUGAUUUUUGCUACUGUUGGCAAACCUGUGUUUAAACUGUUAUGUUUCUUAUUGAAAACUUUGCAAAUCCUCACUUGUGAGGGCAGAAUUAAGAACCAGAAUUAAGCACUCAAAGUUUUACAUUUCUACCAGGCACUUUCUACCACUGAGUUGUCACAUGGGUUCUUCUGAUGAAAGCUGACUUGCAAGAUGGAUAUGAAAAACCCUUGUAUUUAUACACACUGAGAAAAUAUAUUUGACAAGAUAAAAAUGAUCAUAUUUUAAUUGUCAUGCCUGAAAAAUAGUUAGAGUAUGGAAAAGAACAGGUUUUUUUUUUCACAGCUCUCAUUAGCUGAACUAAUCUGACUUUCCAUUUUGGCCUCUGCUGGCUCCCACUUCAUUGUGGGUAUCAUUAAUCAAGUAAAUCAAGCCUGCUGGCUUCUCCCUGUGUUAGUUCCACUCAUUGUAGAAUAGGUUGUAUGUAUUCCUCAGGCUGAAUUAGGCAUUAUGAAUGGAAUUAGAGGGUUGAUGGCAAUAUGGCUUGUGGAUCAAAAGGAGAGCAGCCCAUGUGAAAAGCUGUAGAUCUUCAGAACUUGCCCACAUGAAAAAUAGUAAAAACUGACGUUUAUCACUAAGACAGUAGCAUGAUUGUAUCAGCAAAAGAAACAGAUACCAACUAUUAGAUGGCACCAUCUUUUCCUAGCAGUUUCAAAGUGGAACUACCAUGAAAGAUGGUGUGAUGAGCUAGCUAGCCAAAUAGCACAGAGCUGAGGAACAUGUUCUGAAGUUCCGUGUACGCAGAUGGAUAACCAUUUAAUGUAAGAGAUGGUUUGUCUCAGAUUGAAUGCUGGCAGCUACUGGCCCUGGCAAAGAAAAA